CCGCCUGGGGAGUACGGCCGCAAGGCUAAAACUCAAAGGAAUUGACGGGGAGGCGCACAACCAGUGGAGCAUGUGGUUUAAUUCGAUACAAACCGUUGGACCUCACCUAGGCUUGACAUCCUGAUCGUACCUCUUGGAAACAUGAGGGUCAUUUAGUUGGAUCAGUGACAGGUGUUGCAUGGCUGUCGUCAGUUCGUGUUGUGAGACGUCUGCUUAAGUGCAGUAACGAACGUAACCCGCAUCCUGUGUUGCAUAUCACAGGAAACUGCCUCGCAACAAGCGGGGAGGAAGGAGCGGAUGAUGUCAAGUCAGCAUGACCCUUACGCCUAGGGCAACACACAUCCUACAAUGGGACCGACAAUGGGUUUUGCCAAACCGCGAGGUGGAGCUAAUCCCCUAAACGGUCUCUCAGUUCGGAUUGCAGGCUGAAACUCGCCUGCAUGAAGUUGGAAUUGGUAGUAAACGCGGAUCAGCAAGCCGCGUUGAAUACGUUCUCGCCUCUUGUACACACUGCCCGUCAAGCGAGGAGAGUUGGGGGUACCCGAAGACGUUUGUCUAACCUUUUUGGAAGACGACGCCUAAGGUAAACUCAGCAAUCAGCACUAAGUCGUAACAAGGUAGUCGUACUGGAAGGUGCGGCUGGAUCACCUCCUU
This 654-nucleotide ribosomal RNA is filed under the name uncultured soil bacterium. RNAcentral describes it as "bacterial SSU rRNA". It matches the Rfam family "Bacterial small subunit ribosomal RNA", at positions 869 to 1532 of the family's 1533-position model. The record is from RNAcentral.